Molecule: ribosomal RNA, 498 nt
Filed under: uncultured bacterium
Lineage: Bacteria
Description: partial 16S ribosomal RNA
Rfam family: Bacterial small subunit ribosomal RNA
Source: RNAcentral
AUUGAACGCUGGCGGCAUGCCUUACACAUGCAAGUCGAACGGUAACGGGUCCUUCGGGAUGCCGACGAGUGGCGAACGGGUGAGUAAUAUAUCGGAACGUGCCCAGUAGUGGGGGAUAACUGCUCGAAAGAGCAGCUAAUACCGCAUACGACCUGAGGGUGAGAGGGGGGAUCGCAAGACCUCUCGCUAUUGGAGCGGCCGAUAUCAGAUUAGCUAGUUGGUGGGGUAAAGGCCUACCAAGGCAACGAUCUGUAGUUGGUCUGGGAGGACGACCAGCCACACUGGGACUGAGACACGGCCCAGACUCCUACGGGAGGCAGCAGUGGGAAUUUUGGACAAUGGGCGCAAGCCUGAUCCAGCAAUGCCGCGUGCAGGAAGAAGGCCUUCGGGUUGUAAACUGCUUUUGUCAGGGAAGAAAUCUUCUGGGCUAAUACCCCGGGAGGAUGACGGUACCUGAAGAAUAAGCACCGGCUAACUACGUGCCAGCAGCCGCGGUAA